ACGGGUGCGUAACACGUGAACAAUCUGCCGAGAAGUGGGGGAUAGCUUGCCGAAAGGCAAAUUAAUACCGCAUAUGGCCAUUCUUCGAUUGAAGGAAAAGCCAAAGUAGCAAUACGCUUCUUGAUGAGUUCGCGGCCUAUCAGCUAGAUGGCGGGGUAACGGCCCACCAUGGCUAUGACGGGUAGCUGGUCUGAGAGGACGACCAGCCACACAGGAACUGAGACACGGUCCAGACACCUACGGGUGGCAGCAGUCGAGAAUUUUUCACAAUGGGGGAAACCCUGAUGGAGCGACGCCGCGUGGAGGAUGAAGGCCUUCGGGUCGUAAACUCCUGUCAUGCGGGAACAAGAAAGUGAUAGUACCGCAAGAGGAAGAGACGGCUAACUCUGUGCCAGCAGCCGCGGUAAUACAGAGGUCUCAAGCGUUGUUCGGAUUCAUUGGGCGUAAAGGGUGCGUAGGUGGUGACGUAAGUCUAAUGUGAAAUCUCGGGGCUUAACCCCGAAAUUGCAUCGGAUACUGCGUGACUAGAGGAUUGUAGAGGAGAUUGGAAUUCACGGUGUAGCAGUGAAAUGCGUAGA
RNAcentral lists this ribosomal RNA (578 nucleotides) under uncultured bacterium. Its description in RNAcentral is "bacterial SSU rRNA". It matches the Rfam family "Bacterial small subunit ribosomal RNA", at positions 102 to 694 of the family's 1533-position model. The record is from RNAcentral.